UACAGAGACUGCAAGCGUUAUUCGGAUUCACUGGGCGUAAAGGGUGCGCAGGCGACCGAGUGUGUGAGGCGUGAAAGCCCGGGGCUUAACCCCGGAAUUGCACCUCAAACUACACGGCUAGAGCAUUGGAGAGGGUAGCAGAAUUCAUGGUGUAGCAGUGAAAUGCGUAGAUAUCCGGAGGAACACCAGUGGCGAAGGCGGCCACCUGGGCUGUACCUGACGCUCAAACACGAAAGCUAGGGGAGCGAACGAG
This 253-nucleotide ribosomal RNA is filed under the name uncultured bacterium. RNAcentral describes it as "partial 16S ribosomal RNA". It matches the Rfam family "Bacterial small subunit ribosomal RNA", at positions 524 to 776 of the family's 1533-position model. The record is from RNAcentral.